RNAcentral lists this unclassified non-coding RNA (378 nucleotides) under plant metagenome. Its description in RNAcentral is "partial contains 5.8S ribosomal RNA, internal transcribed spacer 2, and large subunit ribosomal RNA". The stretch from base 1 to 105 matches the Rfam family "5.8S ribosomal RNA", at positions 50 to 154 of the family's 154-position model. The record is from RNAcentral.
GAAAUGCGAUAAGUAAUGGGAAUUGCAGAAUUCAGUGAAUCAUCGAAUCUUUGAACGCACCUUGCGCUCCUUGGUAUUCCUUGGAGCAUGCCUGUUUGAGUAUCAUGAAAUCUUCAAAGUAAAUCUUUUGUUAACUCAAUUGGUUUCUACUUUGGUAUUGGAGGUCUUUGCAGCUUCACACCUGCUCCUCUUUGUUCAUUAGCUGGAUCUCAGUGUUAUGCUUGGUUCCACUCGGCGUGAUAAGUUAUCUAUCGCUGAGGACACUGUAAAAGGUGGCCAAGGUAAAUGCAGAUGAACCGCUUCUAAUAGUCCAUUGACUUGGACAAUACUUUUAUGAUCUGAUCUCAAAUAAGGUAGGACUACCCGCUGAACUUAAGC